UGGUGAGAUGUUUCUGGAAGAAAAAAUCCCCUCGAUUUCUGAUUUAAAGCUAGCAAUUCGAAGAGCUACUCUGAAAAGAUCAUUUACUCCUGUAUUUUUGGGAAGCGCCUUGAAGAACAAAGGAGUUCAGCCUCUUUUAGAUGCUGUUUUAGAAUACCUCCCAAAUCCAUCUGAAGUCCAGAACUAUGCUAUUCUCAAUAAGGAGGAUGACUCAAAAGAGAAAACCAAAAUCCUAAUGAACUCCAGUAGAGACAAUUCCCACCCAUUUGUAGGCCUGGCUUUUAAACUGGAGUUUUUGUCUAGGUCCUUUUUCCAUCUCACUAGACAGAAGGACCACAGAAGGCCCAUCCAGAGGACCACGUUAUAUUUGAUUGUCAUGUCUCCUUAUGCUCUCCUAGGCUGUAAUAGUUUCUUAGACUUUCCUUGUUUCUCACGAGAUUGAUAUUUUUGAGAAGUAUUGGUCAGCUCUUUUGUAGAGUGUCCCUCAAUUUGGGUUUAUUAUUUGAUGCUUUUCACAUGAUUAGAUUGGAGUCAUGUGUUUUUAGGAGGACUGCCAUCGAGGUGAAGUGUUAUUCUUGUCACAUCAUAUCCAAGGUACAGACUUGCAGCAUGAUUUAUCAUUGUUUUUGUUUUUUUUGUUUUUAUUUUUAUUUUUUUGAGAUGGGAUUUCGCUCUUAUUGCCCAGGCUGGAGUGCAGUGGCACAAUCUCGGUUCACUGCAACCUCCGCCUCUUAGGUUCAAGCGAGUCUCCUGCCUCAGCCUCCCAAGUAGCUGGGAUUACAGGCAUGCGCCACCAUGCCCGGCUAAUUUUGUAUUUUUAGUAGAGACGUAGUUUCUCCCUGUUGGUCAGGCCGGUCUCGAACUCCUGACCUCAGGUGAUCCGAGUGUCUUGGCCUCCCAAAGUGCUGGGAUUACAGGCGUGAGCCACUGCACUUGGCUGAUUUAUCAUUGUUAAUGCUAACCUCAAUCACCACACCUGGCUGAGAUAGUGUUUGACAGGUUUCUCUGCUGUAAAGUUACUGUACUCUUUUUAUUCCCCUUUUCAUAGUGUACUUUUUAGAAGGAAGUCACUUGGCUCAGCCAACACUUAAGGAGGGGGGAAUUAUGUUCCACCCCCUUGAGGGGGCACUAUCUACAUAAGUUAUUUGGAAUUCUUCUGAAAGGGAGAUUUGUCUUUCUUCCCUGCUUAUUUAUCUAUUUGGACAAUCACUUAUUUAAUAUCAGUGUGGACUCAUGUAUAUGUAUUUUGAACUUUGAGUUAUAACUAUGACUUUGAGUAUGUCAUUUGUUGUUCAGAUUGGCUGGGUUUGGCGAUUGGGAACUCUCAGUUGGCUCCUGUGUUCCUUUAACAUCUUCCAAUGUUUUGCCUUUUUGAAUACUUCCUUACUUGCUGGCACUACAAGACGCCCCAGGCUUAUCUUGCAUAUUCCAUGCCCUAACCCUAGAAUCAGCCAUUCUCCAAGGAGCACUGGUUACUUUUUAAGUAAAAUGGUAUUAGAAACCAAGAUUUGGGGACUGGAUGGGCUUUUUGUUGAAAUGCUGUUGCUUCUGUACAUAAUAUUUUAAGUGGGGAAAAAUGGUAGAUAAGUUGGAAGUGUUAAGAGUGGUUAUUUCUGGGAUGGGAUUAUAUUUUGGGGGCUUUUUCUUACUUUAAAAAUAUUUUACAGUAUAUUACCUCCAAAAUGAGGGGAAAAUUUUUUUAAUUAAAAAGUGGAAAUAACAUUACAGUAAAAGUUUUUACACAUAAAGCUUUUAAAAAUACAUAUAUAAGAAUAUUUUCUUAGGAUUCCCAGAAUAGUGAUUAUUGAGUUAAAGGCAUAGAAUGUUUUCAUAGUUAAUGGUUUAUAUUGCCAGAUUGCGUUCAUACUCUCCAAAUUAAUGUAUUGGAUUAUUUCAAUGAAUAUCAUCAUUGAGUAUUGUUUAAAAAUCAUUACUGAUUUAACAAAUGAAGAAUUUUAUUGUAAUCUUUUAUCUUGAUGAAAUAAAUUUUGACUUUUAAAAGC
This 2003-nucleotide small RNA is filed under the name Pan troglodytes (chimpanzee). Its description in RNAcentral is "retained intron". Lineage: Eukaryota; Metazoa; Chordata; Mammalia; Primates; Hominidae. The record is from RNAcentral.